RNAcentral lists this ribosomal RNA (523 nucleotides) under Pseudomonas sp. NZCH11. Its description in RNAcentral is "bacterial SSU rRNA". It matches the Rfam family "Bacterial small subunit ribosomal RNA", at positions 8 to 526 of the family's 1533-position model. Lineage: Bacteria; Pseudomonadati; Pseudomonadota; Gammaproteobacteria; Pseudomonadales; Pseudomonadaceae. RNAcentral also lists the same sequence under 5 other names. The record is from RNAcentral.
AGAGUUUGAUCCUGGCUCAGAUUGAACGCUGGCGGCAGGCCUAACACAUGCAAGUCGAGCGGUAGAGAGAAGCUUGCUUCUCUUGAGAGCGGCGGACGGGUGAGUAAUGCCUAGGAAUCUGCCUGGUAGUGGGGGAUAACGUUCGGAAACGGACGCUAAUACCGCAUACGUCCUACGGGAGAAAGCAGGGGACCUUCGGGCCUUGCGCUAUCAGAUGAGCCUAGGUCGGAUUAGCUAGUUGGUGAGGUAAUGGCUCACCAAGGCGACGAUCCGUAACUGGUCUGAGAGGAUGAUCAGUCACACUGGAACUGAGACACGGUCCAGACUCCUACGGGAGGCAGCAGUGGGGAAUAUUGGACAAUGGGCGAAAGCCUGAUCCAGCCAUGCCGCGUGUGUGAAGAAGGUCUUCGGAUUGUAAAGCACUUUAAGUUGGGAGGAAGGGUUGUAGAUUAAUACUCUGCAAUUUUGACGUUACCGACAGAAUAAGCACCGGCUAACUCUGUGCCAGCAGCCGCGGUAAUAC